This is a long non-coding RNA of Artibeus jamaicensis (Jamaican fruit-eating bat), 472 nucleotides long. RefSeq lists it as uncharacterized. NCBI's taxonomy places the organism in Eukaryota, Metazoa, Chordata, Mammalia, Chiroptera, Phyllostomidae. The transcript has 4 exons. The record is from RefSeq and is a predicted model, not a curated record.
GCCUAUUGCAAAAAUCAUUUUAGCCAGUACGUACUAUUUUACAGGUCUUAGAAAAGGAUGGACGAGGUGAGCAAUGACAGCAGGGACAGUGCCUAGAGGAAUGAUUACAGCACUGCUCUCCCCAGUUCGCCAUGGGAUCUGAAGGAUGGAAGCACCUGAAUAAUGAGACAACAGGACACAUUCUCUAGGAAAAGUCUUGGAAAAGGAAUGAAUGAGAGAAGUAAUGACAGCAAGAACAUCUGUGAGCAGGAACAUUUCAGCACUAUUCUCCUCAACUGACUAGCCAGGCUUUUAUCUCCAACACACAGACCUGAAUAUUUUCCUUCUGUGUUUCCUACUAUAUUUACUUACCCUAAGCAAGGCAUUCACUCCUGUGUUCUCGUUAAUAACUUUAAUAUGUACUAAUGAAAACAUCCAUUGGAACAAUUCCAUAAAAAGCUUUUCCAGCAUCAACAAUAGGGACAACCUGCUA